This 438-nucleotide ribosomal RNA is filed under the name bacterium CPTAC72. RNAcentral describes it as "bacterial SSU rRNA". It matches the Rfam family "Bacterial small subunit ribosomal RNA", at positions 956 to 1394 of the family's 1533-position model. The record is from RNAcentral.
UGAACGCGAAGAACCUUACCAGGUCUUGACAUCCUCUGACAACACUAGAGAUAGGGCUUCUCCUUCGGGAGAAGAGUGACAGGUGGUCGCAUAGUUGUCGUCAGCUCGUGUCGUGAGAUGUUGGGUUAAGUCCCGCAACGAGCGCAACCCUUGAUCUUAGUUGCCAUCAUUAAGUUGGGCACUCUAAGGUGACUGCCGGUGACAAACCGGAGGAAGGUGGGGAUGACGUCAAAUCAUCAUGCCCCUUAUGACCUGGGCUACACACGUGCUACAAUGGACGGUACAAAGAGCUGCAAGACCCGCGAGGUGGAGCUAAUCUCAUAAAACCGUUCUCAGUUCGGAUUGUAGGCUGCAACUCGCCUACAUGAAGCUGGAAUCGCUAGUAAUCGCGUAUCAGCAUGCCGCGGUGAAUACGUUCCCGGGUCUUGUACACACGCA